This 397-nucleotide ribosomal RNA is filed under the name uncultured bacterium. RNAcentral describes it as "bacterial SSU rRNA". It matches the Rfam family "Bacterial small subunit ribosomal RNA", at positions 27 to 428 of the family's 1533-position model. The record is from RNAcentral.
GGACGAACGCUGGCGGCGUGCUUAACACAUGCAAGUCGAGCGGUAAGGCCCUUUCGGGGGUACACGAGCGGCGAACGGGUGAGUAACACGUGGGUGACCUGCCCUCAGCUCUGGGAUAAGCCUGGGAAACUGGGUCUAAUACCGGAUAUGACUCCAUGACGCAUGUUGUGGGGUGGAAAGCCUUGUGCGGCUGAGGAUGGGCCCGCGGCCUAUCAGCUUGUUGGUGGGGUGANGGCCUACCAAGGCGACGACGGGUAGCCGGCCUGAGAGGGCGACCGGCCACACUGGGACUGAGACACGGCCCAGACUCCUACGGGAGGCAGCAGUGGGGAAUCUUGCGCAAUGGGCGAAAGCCUGACGCAGCGACGCCGCGUGAGGGAUGACGGCCUGGUUGUAA